AUACUGCCAGACUGGAACCGGGAGAGGUAAGAGGUACUACGAGGGGUAGGAGUGAAAUCUUGUAAUCCCUGUGGGACCACCUGUGGCGAAGGCGUCUACAGAACGGUUCGACGGUGAGGACGAAGCGUGGGGCACGAACCGGAUUAGAUACCCGGGUAGUCCCAGCCGUAAACGAUGCUCGCUAGGUGUCAGGCAUGGCGCGACCGUGUCUGGUGCCGCAGGGAAGCCGUGAAGCGAGCCACCUGGGAAGUACGGCCGCAAGGCUGAAACUUAAAGGAAUUGGGCGGGGAGCACAACAACGGGUGGAGCCCUGCGGUUUAAUUGGACUCAACGCCGGACAACUCACCGGGGCGACAGCAAUAUGUAGGCCAAGCUGAAGACUUUGCCUGAAUCGCUGAGAGGAGUGGUGCAUGG
This 414-nucleotide ribosomal RNA is filed under the name uncultured archaeon. RNAcentral describes it as "bacterial SSU rRNA". It matches the Rfam family "Archaeal small subunit ribosomal RNA", at positions 581 to 997 of the family's 1478-position model. The record is from RNAcentral.